RNAcentral lists this long non-coding RNA (203 nucleotides) under Anas platyrhynchos platyrhynchos (common mallard). RNAcentral describes it as "lncRNA (ENSAPLG00000023082.1)". Lineage: Eukaryota; Metazoa; Chordata; Aves; Anseriformes; Anatidae. The record is from RNAcentral.
ACACUGCAGUUUAGAGAAGCUCAGUUUUUAAUAAUGGUGUUAUCUUUAAACGAUAAAGUUUCAGAAGAAUUAGUCAACCACAGAAAUGUCUGGAAGCUUGCAUGCUGUGGACUUUGAGCAGUGUGCCAAACAACUCAAGAGCUACUGUAUUGUGAUGAAUAACUGGGUGUUGUUGUGUGCCAUGAUCUAAUUAAAAACCUGCU